This 380-nucleotide ribosomal RNA is filed under the name uncultured Enterobacteriaceae bacterium. Its description in RNAcentral is "bacterial SSU rRNA". It matches the Rfam family "Bacterial small subunit ribosomal RNA", at positions 355 to 729 of the family's 1533-position model. The record is from RNAcentral. Lineage: Bacteria; Pseudomonadati; Pseudomonadota; Gammaproteobacteria; Enterobacterales; Enterobacteriaceae.
UGGGGAAUAUUGCACAAUGGGCGCAAGCCUGAUGCAGCCAUGCCGCGUGUAUGAAGAAGGCCUUCGGGUUGUAAAGUACUUUCAGCGGGGAGGAAGGCGUUGUGGUUAAUAACCACAGCGAUUGACGUUACCCGCAGAGAAGCACCGGCUACUCCGUGCCAGCAGCCGCGGUAAUACGGAGGGUGCAAGCGUUAAUCGGAAUUACUGGGCGUAAAGCGCACGCAGGCGGUCUUGUCAAGUCGGAUGUGAAAUCCCCGGGCUCAACCUGGGAACUGCAUUCGAAACUGGCAGGCUAGAGUCUUGUAGAGGGGGUAGAAUUCCAGGUGUAGCGGUGAAAUUGCGUAGAGAUCUGGAGGAAUACCGGUGGCGAAGGCGCCCCC